UUGUGGAGGAGGACGCCGAAGGUGGGGCUAAUGACUGGGGUGAAGUCGUAACAAGGUAGCCGUACCGGAAGGUGCGGCUGGAUCACCUCCUAACAGGGAGACAACAAAAUGUUUAAUAUUAUUUUGUCACCUUAGGUCGAUCGAUAUCUCACGUUCUUAAUUAAUUAAGAAUUUCAUUUCCUAAGUUUUUCUAGGUCACACCCAUUAUUUUUCCUGGGCCAUUAGCUCAGGUGGUUAGAGCGCACCCCUGAUAAGGGUGAGGUCCCUGGUUCAAGUCCAGGAUGGCCCAUAUCUCUAUGUUGGGGGUAUAGCUCAGUUGGUAGAGCGCCUGCUUUGCAAGCAGGAUGUCAGCGGUUCGAGUCCGCUUACCUCCACUGAUUACCACCUCUUCCAUAAUCUAUAGAAAGGAAAUGUUUUGAGUUGUGAUCAAAUUCUGAACGAAUCUAGCUUCCUAAUGAAAGUAUUAAGAUGCUGGACUCAUUGAAUAAAUUCAUUGUUUUCAGAGAACCUUGACAACUGCAUAGAUUAUUUUUUAAAGACAAUAAGCAUCUUUAAUGAUGCAGAUUUAUUAUUUGUGCUAAUGCAUUAAUAACAAUUCUAUUAAGCUGAUGCUUCAAUUUUGAAGUUAUUGGUCAAGCUACAA
Molecule: unclassified non-coding RNA, 643 nt
Filed under: uncultured Prochlorococcus sp.
Lineage: Bacteria; Bacillati; Cyanobacteriota; Cyanophyceae; Synechococcales; Prochlorococcaceae
Description: partial 16S-23S ribosomal RNA intergenic spacer; may also contain 16S ribosomal RNA and 23S ribosomal RNA
Rfam family: tRNA (bases 302-374)
Source: RNAcentral